CGAACGUAGAGGGGGGGAGCUAUUUUUAGGUUAGAGGGGACAGGCGUUCGUACGCCGGUGAUUUUCUCGACAGUCAGCACAGGUUACCCUAAGUGGCUGCUCAAAUAGUUUCCAUCUACACAACAGGACAAGCGGAUCAAGCAAAAUGGCGGACGACGAGAAAAAGAAGUUGGAGGAGGAAAAGAAGAGAAAACAAGCUGAAAUCGAGAGAAAAAGGGCCGAGGUCAGGGCCCGUAUGGAGGAGGCCUCCAAGGCGAAGAAGGCCAAGAAAGGUUUCAUGACACCCGAGAGGAAGAAGAAACUGAGGCUGCUGCUGAGAAAGAAAGCCGCUGAGGAACUGAAGAAGGAACAGGAGAGAAAAGCGGCGGAAAGGAGGCGCAUCAUCGAAGAACGCUGCGGUAAACCGAAAUUGAUCGACGACGCUAAUGAAGCUACGUGUAAACAAGUCUGUGAACAAUACUAUAGACGCAUCUCCGAACUUGAAAAUAAGAAAUACGAUCUAGAGAAGGAGGUGGAGUUCCGGGACUUUCAGAUCGCCGACUUGAACAGCCAAGUGAACGACCUCCGAGGCAAAUUCGUCAAGCCCACCCUGAAGAAGGUGUCCAAGUACGAGAACAAAUUCGCCAAGCUACAGAAGAAGGCGGCCGAAUUCAACUUCCGUAACCAGCUCAAGGUCGUCAAGAAGAAAGAGUUCACCCUCGAGGAGGAAGACAAAGAGAAGAAACCAGACUGGUCCAAGAAAGGAGAGAAGGAAGAAGACGCCGCCAAACCUGCUGAGGAGGCAGCCGUCCCAGCCGAAGGACAACCUCCCGUUGAAGGACAACCUUCUGUCGAGGGUCAACCAGAAUCUCAACCCGAAGGGCAACAGGUGGCUGAAGGUCAACCGCCCACGGAAGGCGAUGGAGGCGCUGCAGUCGAAGGCCAGACACCUGCUGAAGGACCGCCUGCCGAAUCAGUGGCUCCGAUAGAGGCCGAAACCAACGUCGAAGGAGAAGCUAAGCCUCAAGAAGAGGCACCACCAGGCCCUUUCGAGACUUUCAAACAGCUCGUGAUUAGUGAGAAUUACGAUUUCGUGGCUUUACCGGAAGCGGUACUUGCGCCAACCGAUGACGUAGAGGCCGUUAAAAUCCCCAACUACUCGCUGAUCGAGAAUCGUAAGAACAGUGGCGAAGGGGUGGUGCUUUACAUCAAGGACUCGCUUAAGUUCAAAGUGGUCGACCUGACCUCCGAAAACCCUGAGACUCAGGUUACCUUCGAAUCGCUUAUCGAGAAACUGAAGAGCCAGGCUGUUCAACCAGCAGAAGGGACCGCCGCGGAGACUACCGAAGUGGCCGCCGCCGCUCCCGCGGAAGGGGUUCCCGAAGGAGCCGAAGUACCGGCGGAAGCUGCCGCAAAACCCGAAGGAGCGGAAGGGCAACCCGCUAAACCUGCCGAAACACCGGCGGAGGGCGGCGCGGAAGCGCCACCCCCGGAGGCGGCUACAGCUGAAAUGACUCAGGUACCGGAAGGGGACGCGGCGCCGGCGCAGACGGAGGAGGUGCAGGUUCUAGUUGCGGAAGCUGUGGGUGUCGUCGCUGAAGGGGCGAAUGAGUCAGUGGCAUCGGAUGCCGAAGCCGUAGCGUUCGAGCAACCUAUUGCUUCGCCGCCCAUGAUAGAGUGAUCCAUUGCCCAGAAAUCAUUAACUCAUACUAGCAUUUCAUCAAAACGUAUAUAAACGAGCCGCCGCCUAAACGCGGCCGCCGACCAACAUCGGACCCCUAUGCGCGCUAAACGCGCUUUUGUGAAUAUUUAUAUGCCCCGUAGUAGCGUUUGCCGCCUGUUUGCGUUGAUACUAUCGACAAAUUGAGUGUGAAAAGCCUAUAUUUGUUAUAUUUUUCAAUAAAAUUUUAACGCAAUAUGUGC
Molecule: RNA transcript, 1902 nt
Organism: Cylas formicarius (sweet potato weevil)
Lineage: Eukaryota; Metazoa; Arthropoda; Insecta; Coleoptera; Brentidae
Gene: wupA
Gene name: troponin I
Exons: 16
Source: RefSeq, a predicted model, not a curated record